Molecule: ribosomal RNA, 465 nt
Filed under: uncultured bacterium
Lineage: Bacteria
Description: partial 16S ribosomal RNA
Rfam family: Bacterial small subunit ribosomal RNA
Source: RNAcentral
GACGAACGCUGGCGGCGUGCUUAACACAUGCAAGUCGAACGGAAAGGCCCCUUUGGGGGUACUCGAGUGGCGAACGGGUGAGUAACACGUGAGUAACCUGCCCUUGACUUCGGGAUAACUUCAGGAAACUGGGGCUAAUACCGGAUAGGAAUCCUUGCUGCAUGGGGGGGGUUGGAAAGCUUCGGCGGGUUUGGAUGGACUCGCGGCUUAUCAGCUUGUUGGUGGGGUAGUGGCUUACCAAGGCUUUGACGGGUAGCCGGCCUGAGAGGGCGACCGGCCACAUUGGGACUGAGAUACGGCCCAGACUCCUACGGGAGGCAGCAGUGGGGAAGAUUGCACAAUGGGCGGAAGCCUGAUGCAGCAACGCCGCGUGCGGGAUGACGGCCUUCGGGUUGUAAACCGCUUUCAGCAGGGGCGAAGCUUGUGGUGACGGUACCUGCAGAAGAAGCACCGGCUAACUACGUG